This is a regulatory RNA element of Lachnospiraceae bacterium, 99 nucleotides long. It matches the Rfam family "pemK RNA". The record is from Rfam. Lineage: Bacteria; Bacillati; Bacillota; Clostridia; Lachnospirales; Lachnospiraceae.
AUAAUGAUACUCCUGUCCAGUCACAAGCCGAGCGUUGAGAGCGUCCCACCUAAUGAGGGCAGUUUCGGGAGAUCCCCGGAAAGGUAUAAGUACCUGUGG